Molecule: long non-coding RNA, 646 nt
Filed under: Mytilus galloprovincialis (Mediterranean mussel)
Lineage: Eukaryota; Metazoa; Mollusca; Bivalvia; Mytilida; Mytilidae
Source: RNAcentral
AAAAAAACACAAGUGCAACAGAUGGAAUCCAUCUUCUUGAUAUGGUUAAAGUUAAAUUAUAUAUAACGUUACAGAAACUGAAACAAUUUCAUUAGAUUUUAGGUAAUAUCAAAUUUUGACACACAACCAUCGAUAUACAUUUUGCCUUGUCAAACUAAUUUGGACGAUGAUAUUUACUUUUGCAAAACGUUAAUUGAAAUGAGAUAAACUCGAACAAAGCCUUAUUCAACAACCUCUGGUGUAUGCGUAAAUAAUAAGUAUAAUGCAGUCCGUAUAGUAAACAGAGUACAAUGUAAUUUGACCAAAAUAUACUUUUAGUACAUGUUUUACCUUAAUACGUCAACCGAGACCUACGAUGAAUAUUCAUUUUAAAGGGUCGUGGGUUUCAAAACUUGUUAUUUGUUGUGAUGGAAGAAUGGUGAAUAUUGAUUCGUCAUGCAAAAGCACAAGUAUAAGCACUGACAAUAUUAAUCUGUUAAAGAUAAAGAAGGGUGAGUAACAUACAUUUUAGAGAUAUAUAUGCUAUCCAAACAUGAUAAUCUAUAAAGUAAAUGUAUUAACCUAAAUCUUAGAUAAUACACAAAAUAUUACAAACAGCUCCUUUCUGAAAAUAUUAUUCGGCUAUGCUAUUUAUAUGGUGAUUCAU